GAGACAGCAGUCGCCACGGUAAAACGGAGGGUGCAAGCGUUAAUCGGAAUUACUGGGCGUAAAGCGCACGCAGGCGGUCUGACAAGUCAGAUGUGAAAUCCCCGGGCUUAACCUGGGAACUGCAUUUGAAACUGUCAGGCUGGAGUCUUGUAGAGGGGGGUAGAAUUCCAGGUGUAGCGGUGAAAUGCGUAGAGAUCUGGAGGAAUACCGAUGGCGAAGGCAGCCAUCUGGCCUAAUACUGACGCUGAGGUACGAAAGCAUGGGGAGCAAACAGGAUUAGAUACCCCUGUAGUCCCUGUCUCUUAUAC
RNAcentral lists this ribosomal RNA (308 nucleotides) under uncultured bacterium. Its description in RNAcentral is "partial 16S ribosomal RNA". It matches the Rfam family "Bacterial small subunit ribosomal RNA", at positions 505 to 807 of the family's 1533-position model. The record is from RNAcentral.